RNAcentral lists this ribosomal RNA (1496 nucleotides) under Lactiplantibacillus plantarum. Its description in RNAcentral is "bacterial SSU rRNA". It matches the Rfam family "Bacterial small subunit ribosomal RNA". The record is from RNAcentral. Lineage: Bacteria; Bacillati; Bacillota; Bacilli; Lactobacillales; Lactobacillaceae.
GGCGUGCCUAAUACAUGCAAGUCGAACGAACUCUGGUAUUGAUUGGUGCUUGCAUCAUGAUUUACAUUUGAGUGAGUGGCGAACUGGUGAGUAACACGUGGGAAACCUGCCCAGAAGCGGGGGAUAACACCUGGAAACAGAUGCUAAUACCGCAUAACAACUUGGACCGCAUGGUCCGAGUUUGAAAGAUGGCUUCGGCUAUCACUUUUGGAUGGUCCCGCGGCGUAUUAGCUAGAUGGUGGGGUAACGGCUCACCAUGGCAAUGAUACGUAGCCGACCUGAGAGGGUAAUCGGCCACAUUGGGACUGAGACACGGCCCAAACUCCUACGGGAGGCAGCAGUAGGGAAUCUUCCACAAUGGACGAAAGUCUGAUGGAGCAACGCCGCGUGAGUGAAGAAGGGUUUCGGCUCGUAAAACUCUGUUGUUAAAGAAGAACAUAUCUGAGAGUAACUGUUCAGGUAUUGACGGUAUUUAACCAGAAAGCCACGGCUAACUACGUGCCAGCAGCCGCGGUAAUACGUAGGUGGCAAGCGUUGUCCGGAUUUAUUGGGCGUAAAGCGAGCGCAGGCGGUUUUUUAAGUCUGAUGUGAAAGCCUUCGGCUCAACCGAAGAAGUGCAUCGGAAACUGGGAAACUUGAGUGCAGAAGAGGACAGUGGAACUCCAUGUGUAGCGGUGAAAUGCGUAGAUAUAUGGAAGAACACCAGUGGCGAAGGCGGCUGUCUGGUCUGUAACUGACGCUGAGGCUCGAAAGUAUGGGUAGCAAACAGGAUUAGAUACCCUGGUAGUCCAUACCGUAAACGAUGAAUGCUAAGUGUUGGAGGGUUUCCGCCCUUCAGUGCUGCAGCUAACGCAUUAAGCAUUCCGCCUGGGGAGUACGGCCGCAAGGCUGAAACUCAAAGGAAUUGACGGGGGCCCGCACAAGCGGUGGAGCAUGUGGUUUAAUUCGAAGCUACGCGAAGAACCUUACCAGGUCUUGACAUACUAUGCAAAUCUAAGAGAUUAGACGUUCCCUUCGGGGACAUGGAUACAGGUGGUGCAUGGUUGUCGUCAGCUCGUGUCGUGAGAUGUUGGGUUAAGUCCCGCAACGAGCGCAACCCUUAUUAUCAGUUGCCAGCAUUAAGUUGGGCACUCUGGUGAGACUGCCGGUGACAAACCGGAGGAAGGUGGGGAUGACGUCAAAUCAUCAUGCCCCUUAUGACCUGGGCUACACACGUGCUACAAUGGAUGGUACAACGAGUUGCGAACUCGCGAGAGUAAGCUAAUCUCUUAAAGCCAUUCUCAGUUCGGAUUGUAGGCUGCAACUCGCCUACAUGAAGUCGGAAUCGCUAGUAAUCGCGGAUCAGCAUGCCGCGGUGAAUACGUUCCCGGGCCUUGUACACACCGCCCGUCACACCAUGAGAGUUUGUAACACCCAAAGUCGGUGGGGUAACCUUUUAGGAACCAGCCGCCUAAGGUGGGACAGAUGAUUAGGGUGAAGUCGUAACAAGGUAGACC